Molecule: long non-coding RNA, 2289 nt
Organism: Lates calcarifer (barramundi perch)
Lineage: Eukaryota; Metazoa; Chordata; Actinopteri; Centropomidae
Exons: 4
Source: RefSeq, a predicted model, not a curated record
GCAGCACAUGACAAGGUCAAGGGUGAAAACAAGACAAGAGAAAUGUCUCGUCACAUGUCGUCACCUGAUUGUGAAGGACGAGUGAGAGAACACGGGGUGCUGUUACAGUGUGUGAUCUGUAGUUGUAUUCUUUAGAGCUGGAUCAAAUCAGCCUUAUGGAGGGAAGGGGCUGAGGGAGGUCAUGUGGUGUUGGUAUGCAGCGGAAAGCCAAGUGUCGGCCAGCGCUGGAGCUGUGGCAUGCUUUGCUGUGACAUCACUGGCCUGCUGACUGCAUUGCUGCUGAAGAGGCUCGCCUAUGUUUGGACGUGCUGCCGACAAGAGCUGCCUCUGAAACCGAUUUCAAAGCCUCAACCGACCAAGUGAUCAGACAACAGGCCAACCAUUAGCAUUGCCAUGUGCUCUCACCAGGAGGGAAUGCUGAAGCUUCUGGUCAACUCCUCCUGUGACUGAAAAACAACAGGAUUGUGUCAUAAAAAUGAACCCUGUGGCAGAUUCAUGUGGCCCCCGGUGCUUUUUCCCCUUUUGACCAACAGAAGCAGGUGUUUAUGAAUCAGGAUUUUACUGGCAACAGACUAGCAUCUACAAAUGCACUUGAGGUUCCACAGCUGAACUCUGCAUACAUACAUAACACCAUGACGAGGACAAUUGUUGGCCUGGAUCUGUAGAACUGUUUGCUUGGAGACUGAUCACUUUGCCCCACAUUCUGCCUCCAAAGGAGAAAAAAGAAAAACACAUUACACACUACCAAGCAAACAAACAAACCAACAAGGACAAAGAGCCUCGGUCAGAAUGAAGUGUUCCCAAUAUGGAGCACACAGAUCUUUUACAGCCUGUGUUGAAAGUUAUAUAUUCUUGACUAACAAUGUGUGGCACAUUUUUUUGCUUGCCCUGUGAUCAUGGAAAUGAAAAGUAUGUUAUUUCUGAAUAUUUGCAAUUGCUAAUAUAGUAACACAAAAAUAAACUGUAUCAGUUACUGUGAUCUAAAGAAAGGACCUAGUCAGAUAGAGAAGCAUCUGUUUCUUUAUUGUCCAUUUGUAAAGGCAUAGCCUGUAAUCUGUUUGUUCAAAAGCCCUAAUGAGCCUGAUCACCGUGCAUUAUUCUCUUGAAGCUGUGUCAUUUUAGCAGUCAGAUGGACCUUGAUGCAUAAAUGUGAAGUAUGACUGUUUCUCCAAGAACAUUUAUUGUGAACAAGGCAGGAUUUUUAGGUAAAAGAACAUUAGUUCAGAAUCAGGAUCAAAGGCAUACAUUGAAAAUGUGUACAUACAGUGUGCACAGUAUGUACAGGGGUCAUGGUUUGGCGAUCGCUAAGAUAAAAACAACAGCUCAUUCUGUGAACAGCUGAUGAAGAUAUUCAUCAGCAGGGGAUUUUUCUGCACAUGUUGCAAGCAGGAGAGUCAGCAGCAGAAGCACUGGGAUUUUUCUCAGGUCUAAGUCUGUAAGGCUCUUUUUCUAGAAGGUUUCUGAUGUAGUAGCUGAUCCCAAAAUCUCUAGAAUCAAUGCUGGGUGAUUAUUGUUUAUUGUAAAUGAUGACUACAUCAGACUUAAAAACAAAUAAGCACUUAACACAUGCUCAUGUAAACUCUACUUACGCCCCUUCUUUAUUUUACACCCCUUUCCCCCCCCCAGUUGAUGUGACAAUGCUCACACCAGGGAAGUUGUUACGUGCAACAAUGGAGCAGCGUUGCCCUGUGCAGAUGCCAUGUGACAGGUCAGAUUUCCUUUCUGUGCCUCCAUACGCGAGCAUGCACAGACAGAAGCUGAGCACCCUGCCAAACAAACAGCAUGAUGUGUCCCCGUGUUCCCAUAAAGUUACACAACCCCGGAUCACACAGACGGUGCUCUGCAAACAGGCAACAGGGAAACGUGUGUCCCGUAGUAACGCUGUGGCCAUGGGAGCUACGGCACUGCUGCAUUUUAUCCUAGCAGUUAGUUAAUUGCAUUCACCUGCCAUUCCAGGUGUAAAUCAGUUGGAGAUUCACAGCAGCCUUCCUCUAACACUCACAAAGCAGGGAUUAUGGCAUUUCAAUGUGACAAUGUGAAGGAAGGCAUACAUUACGUUAUGCAAGGGUAAAUGUACUCUUACAUGACAUGGAAGCAUGUGGAUGCAUGUGCGCAUCUUUCAGGAAAGGUGCUUCUACAUUUAUACUUUGUCUCCACAGACUCACAUAAAAAGCCACCGCAUAACCACAUUCAAGUGCCACACUGGUUUCUGAGCACAUCAUCUGACUUGUGAUUUUAUUUCUUCAAAUUGCAGUCACAUGUGCAGCAUCUCUUCUCCAUCCUGACUGG